CCCGACUCCGUGAAGCUGGAUUCGCUAGUAAUCGCGCAUCAGCCAUGGCGCGGUGAAUACGUUCCCGGGCCUUGUACACACCGCCCGUCAAGCCAUGGAAGCCGGGGGUGCCUGAAGUGUGCAGCCGCAAGGAGCGCCCUAAGGUAAAACCGGUGACUGGGGCUAAGUCGUAACAAGGUAGC
This 182-nucleotide ribosomal RNA is filed under the name uncultured bacterium. RNAcentral describes it as "partial 16S ribosomal RNA". It matches the Rfam family "Bacterial small subunit ribosomal RNA", at positions 1311 to 1500 of the family's 1533-position model. The record is from RNAcentral.